UGUAAAUGUGUGUGUGAGAGAGAGAAACUCAGAGAGAGAGAGAGAGAGAGAGAGAGAGAGAGAGAGAGAGAGAGAGAGAGAGAGAGAGAGAGAGAGAGAGAGAGAGAGAGAGAGAUUUAGAACAGGGCUGUCCUCAGCAUCCUUAUUUCUGAACUUUUGCUUUAAGGUCCUUGGUGAGGUUCAAUACUUUCUUCAUGGCGAGUUGAGAGGAAAACAUUAAUAACAGGAGCUAUCCAACAGAGCUUGGCUUACCUCAACAAGCAGCUGAGAAGUAUUUUAGAGAUCCAGCACUUAUUGGGAUUAUACUGUGAGAGUUCCUUCUAUCAUGAGUGCAAUCUGAUUUCUCUGGACUUUCCUUAGCUUCUGGAAAACUGAUAAUUGCUUCACAGGAGGAUGCUCCAGGCUCAGAGGUUCACUCAGAUCAACCUCCCUGGUGGGCUUCCCAAAGAAAAGUGAGUUCAACUGUUUGGAUCUUCUCAGUUCCUCUGUUCCUUCUCCAAAAUUCUCUCUUAUUCUUGCCCUUCCCCAACUCAAGUUGGUCUUCCAGAAUGAUGAGUCUGCUUUCCUCUCUUAUAGCUAUACAUAGAAUAAUUCAGUACAACAAUAAUUAGAGC
This 614-nucleotide long non-coding RNA is filed under the name Monodelphis domestica (gray short-tailed opossum). Its description in RNAcentral is "lncRNA (ENSMODG00000050550.1)". Lineage: Eukaryota; Metazoa; Chordata; Mammalia; Didelphimorphia; Didelphidae. The record is from RNAcentral.